AUACGUAGGUGGCAAGCGUUGUCCGGAUUUACUGGGCGUAAAGGGCGUGUAGGCGGAGUUGCAAGUCAGGAGUGAAAUCUAGGGGCUCAACCCCUGAACUGCUUUUGAAACUGUAUCCCUUGAGUAUCGGAGAGGGAGGGGGAAUUCCCCGUGUAGCGGGGAAAUGCGGAGAUAUUAGGAGGAAAACCAGUGGCGAAGGCGGCCUGCUGGACGACAACUGACGCUGAGGCGCGAAAGCGUGGGGAGCAAACAGGAUUAGAUACCCUGGUAGUCCACGCUGUAAACGAUGAAUACUAGGUGUGGGGGGACUGACCCCCUCCGUGCCGCAGUUAACACAAUAAGUAUUCCACCUGGGGAGUACGAUCGCAAGAUUGAAACUCAAAUGAAUCGGCGGGG
Molecule: ribosomal RNA, 396 nt
Filed under: uncultured bacterium
Lineage: Bacteria
Description: partial 16S ribosomal RNA
Rfam family: Bacterial small subunit ribosomal RNA
Source: RNAcentral